GAUGAAGACGUAGCGAAAUGCGAUAACUAAUGUGAAUUGCAGAAUUCAGUGAAUCAUCGAGUCUUUGAACGCACAUUGCGCCCCCUGGUAUUCCGGGGGGCAUGCCUGUCCGAGCGUCAUUGCUGCCCUCAAGCACGGCUUGUGUGUUGGGCUCCGUCCCCCCGGGGACGGGCCCGAAAGGCAGCGGCGGCACCGAGUCCGGUCCUCGAGCGUAUGGGGCUUUGUCACCCGCUCUGUAGGCCCGGCCGGCGCCAGCCGACAACCCAUCAUCCUUUUCAGGUUGACCUCGGAUCAGGUAGGGAUACCCGCUGAACUUAAGCAUAUCAAUAAGCGGAGGA
This 338-nucleotide unclassified non-coding RNA is filed under the name soil metagenome. RNAcentral describes it as "partial contains 5.8S ribosomal RNA, internal transcribed spacer 2, and large subunit ribosomal RNA". The stretch from base 1 to 119 matches the Rfam family "5.8S ribosomal RNA", at positions 35 to 154 of the family's 154-position model. The record is from RNAcentral.